This 253-nucleotide ribosomal RNA is filed under the name uncultured bacterium. Its description in RNAcentral is "partial 16S ribosomal RNA". It matches the Rfam family "Bacterial small subunit ribosomal RNA", at positions 524 to 776 of the family's 1533-position model. The record is from RNAcentral.
UACGUAGGUGGCAAGCGUUGUCCGGAUUUACUGGGCGUAAAGAGCGCGAAGGCGGUCGGCCAAGUCGAGUGUGAAAGCCCCCGGCUCAACUGGGGAGGGUCAUUCGAUACUGGUCGACUCGAAGGCAGGAGAGGGAAGCGGAAUUCCCGGUGUAGUGGUGAAAUGCGUAGAUAUCGGGAGGAACACCAGUGGCGAAGGCGGCUUCCUGGCCUGUUCUUGACGCUGAGGCGCGAAAGCUAGGGGAGCAAACGGG